AACGCGAAGAACCUUACCUGGGCUUGAACUACUCGUGGUAAGCCGAUGGAAACAUUGGCUGACCCGCAAGGGAGCGAGCAGAGGUGCUGCAUGGUUGUCGUCAGCUCGUGUCGUGAGAUGUUGGGUUAAGUCCCGCAACGAGCGCAACCCCUACUCGAUGUUGCUAAUCCCGCAAGGGAUGCACUCUUCGAGAACUGCCUUCGAUAAGAAGGAGGAAGGUGGGGACGACGUCAAAUCCUCAUGGCCCUUAUGUCCAGGGCUACACACGUGCUACAAUGGCCGGUACAACGGGAAGCAAUACCGUAAGGUGGAGCCAAACCCUGAAAGCCGGCCCCAGUUCAGAUUGUGGGCUGCAACUCGCCCACAUGAAGGCGGAAUCGCUAGUAAUCGCGAAUCAGCAGGUCGCGGUGAAUACGUUCCCGGGCCUUGUA
This 431-nucleotide ribosomal RNA is filed under the name uncultured Elusimicrobium sp. RNAcentral's name for it is "bacterial SSU rRNA". It matches the Rfam family "Bacterial small subunit ribosomal RNA", at positions 958 to 1385 of the family's 1533-position model. The record is from RNAcentral. Lineage: Bacteria; Pseudomonadati; Elusimicrobiota; Elusimicrobia; Elusimicrobiales; Elusimicrobiaceae.